RNAcentral lists this ribosomal RNA (801 nucleotides) under Pasteurella multocida. RNAcentral describes it as "bacterial SSU rRNA". It matches the Rfam family "Bacterial small subunit ribosomal RNA", at positions 202 to 988 of the family's 1533-position model. Lineage: Bacteria; Pseudomonadati; Pseudomonadota; Gammaproteobacteria; Pasteurellales; Pasteurellaceae. The record is from RNAcentral.
AAGGGUGGGACCUCUUGGCCACCUGCCAUAAGAUGAGCCCAAGUGGGAUUAGGUAGUUGGUGGGGUAAAGGCCUACCAAGCCUGCGAUCUCUAGCUGGUCUGAGAGGAUGACCAGCCACACUGGAACUGAGACACGGUCCAGACUCCUACGGGAGGCAGCAGUGGGGAAUAUUGCGCAAUGGGGGGAACCCUGACGCAGCCAUGCCGCGUGAAUGAAGAAGGCCUUCGGGUUGUAAAGUUCUUUCGGUAAUGAGGAAGGGAUGUUGUUAAAUAGAUGGCAUCAUUGACGUUAAUUACAGAAGAAGCACCGGCUAACUCCGUGCCAGCAGCCGCGGUAAUACGGAGGGUGCGAGCGUUAAUCGGAAUAACUGGGCGUAAAGGGCACGCAGGCGGACUUUUAAGUGAGAUGUGAAAUCCCCGAGCUUAACUUGGGAAUUGCAUUUCAGACUGGGAGUCUAGAGUACUUUAGGGAGGGGUAGAAUUCCACGUGUAGCGGUGAAAUGCGUAGAGAUGUGGAGGAAUACCGAAGGCGAAGGCAGCCCCUUGGGAAUGUACUGACGCUCAUGUGCGAAAGCGUGGGGAGCAAACAGGAUUAGAUACCCUGGUAGUCCACGCUGUAAACGCUGUCGAUUUGGGGAUUGGGCUAUAUGCUUGGUGCCCGAAGCUAACGUGAUAAAUCGACCGCCUGGGGAGUACGGCCGCAAGGUUAAAACUCAAAUGAAUUGACGGGGGCCCGCACAAGCGGUGGAGCAUGUGGUUUAAUUCGAUGCAACGCGAAGAACCUUACCUACUCUUGACUCC